Molecule: small nuclear RNA, 104 nt
Organism: Meriones unguiculatus (Mongolian gerbil)
Lineage: Eukaryota; Metazoa; Chordata; Mammalia; Rodentia; Muridae
Source: Ensembl
GUGCUUGCUUUGGCAGCAUAUACAAAAUAUGAAUGAAAUAGAAAAGAUUACCAUAUCCUCUGUGCAAGAAUGAGAUAAAAAUUUGUGAAGUGUUCCACGAGUUC